AUCGUAUGGCAGUACAUGAAUCAUAUACAAAAUUAGUAUUUCUUGUUCUAGGAAGCAGGGAAAGCUGGACACUGGAGUCAGGAUAAGUUUUCAUUCAUUGAGGGAUCAAGAAAAACCAAGGGAACAUCGGUUACUCGAAGAAAAAAAGGAGAAAUGCAUGAUAGUAGAAUGAGGAAUGCUGACAAAUCAACUACAAAUCGUCCAGACUUGAUUUUAAGAAUGAUGCCAUUGCAACAAGAUGUACAAGAAGAAACAUGAGAGUGGGAAACAAAGUUGUUGCAAUUGGAUGAGUUGAUCUAGUACUUUAGGUUGUAGUGUUCUUUUCUAAAAUAAGCAUGCAAGUUAAAGUUUAGGCCUUCUGUAAUCUAGGGAAUGUACUAAAUUGAAUAAAUUAAAAAUGUUCCUUAACUUUUAUUUAUAUGUUAUGAUAAUAGAAUCUUACAGAUAGUUGUUUU
Molecule: non-coding RNA, 455 nt
Organism: Erythranthe guttata (spotted monkey flower)
Lineage: Eukaryota; Viridiplantae; Streptophyta; Magnoliopsida; Lamiales; Phrymaceae
Source: RefSeq, a predicted model, not a curated record